AUCAGCAGCAGCAGCCAAACGUAAACAAACCAAGCCUGACACUCGUGCUGGACGCCGCCCACGGGACCCCGCCACCCAGCGCCCUUUCCCUCCCACUGGUGACGUGCCCUCCAGGCUGCUGGCCCAUCACUGCCCCUGAAGUCAUCAGUGGAUGGCAGACAUGAGUGAAGCAGUCCUCUGGCCGCCACAGCAGGUUGGAGACCUGUAACACUGACACUGCUCCAGUGGAACCAAACUUGAAUGGUGCCAGGGAGACCAACGCUGUGUGAGUGUCCCAGUGGCUUACUGUGCUGCGCCAAGGUGUUGACAAGUAACGUGGAGGUUGAGCCGCUGGACCCACCACCCAUCGGCAAGUGUUCCAGGAGGCAAGAAGGAGUGACUCUACACCAUGGAACUUUGACAGACCUCCUCCUCCUGCCUUCAAGUCUGGCCAAAAGGGUGUAUUGUCCUUUUCCACGCCAUGUCGCCGCCACUCCUCACUCCACGCUGAGCCUGACACGGUGACGCUGCGUACAGCUUGUUGGAGGCAAAGCACUACAUCAUACAAGGACAUUGAGGAGGAGUAGGAAGAAGAAGGAGAGGAGGAGGAGGAGGAGGAUAAAUAAUUAGUGAGAAAAAAAUAUCAAUGAAAAAUAAGAGAAAAUGAGAGAAAAUGAAAGAUAGUGAUGAAAAAGACUGAAUUAAAUAUUUACUACAUAGUACUACUGAAAAAAAGAAAGAGAGAGAGAAAGUGAGAUACAGAAUAAAGUGAGAAAGUGACUGGAUUACUACUGCUUCUGCUACUACUACUGCUACAUCUGGUUAUGGGCUCCACACCACCGCCAGUCUACCGGCUCCACCGAAGGACUGCUACCAGGUUCUCGGGUGCCCAGAAGCGCCUUGGAGAAGAUGAAGAAGGCGUACUAGUACCAGGGAGUGGCUGGAGGACGGCUGACCCACAAGGCUGACCUACAAGGCUGACCUACAAGAGGCUUGCUUGGAUUUAAACCAAUUGAAAUCAGAGGAAAAAAAUCAUGAUCAUGACGAUGAUAGAAAAAUUAUCACCAAAAUGCCGUGGUUUACUAGCGCUGACUUGGUGGACGAGCAUCCUGUUUUUUUUUAUAUAUAUUAUUUUUAGUUUAUUUAUUUAUUUAUUUUUUUUAUUUGUGGCCUCACCCGGGUGGGGACACAGGCUCUAUGGAGGCCGUCAGGGUCAAGCGCGUACGUCCCUUCAAGGAGGGAGCACAAACCCUUGCUGGCCCGUGAUGGGGAAGGGAGGAUGCCGAUAGACUGACUCUACCAGCUUACAUCAGCCUAACCGAUCAGUCUGUCUGUCAAGGAGGACUGGUGUGUCUCUGGAAGGCGUGAGCGUGGGUUCCCUUUGUUGGGUGCAGGACCAGAGUGCUCGGAGCAGAAAACAAUGGGAAGAGAGCCUCAGUGCGGCCACCUUGAUCUAAAGAAAAAACACAACCUUCAGUACAGAACCAAUAUGUUAAGGAAUGGCUGGAAAAAAAAAAGGCAUCGUUUCAAUUUUUUUGUUCCUAACGAUGGCGCUGAUGUUUUCAUGCCGGGAAGUUCUUGCCUAUCCUGCAGUGAUGCGUUAAAAUGGUCUGGGGCGCAACACUGACACAACAGUGACACAACAGCAAGGCAUUUCCCAGUGAACCACAAAACCAGUACAUAAACAUUAUGUUUGUCAAGGGUCGUCCUGCAGUACAUGUACAAUACGCGUCGUAACGUCCCCCCCUCCCUCCUGCCUUCACCAGCAGGGACCGUCAGUCACGCCGGACCAGAGACAUUUUAGGGUUGCCAGCUGUUCCUUAAAAUAUGUAUUGGUUCUGUAGUGGAGGUUGUGUUCCUUACUUUUCUUAGCUCAAGGUGGCUGCCCUGAGGCUCUCUUUCCACUGUCUUUCACUCAGCACUCUCGUCCUGCGGCGAACACAGGGAACCCGCGCUCACUUGUACACAGAGACGCGCCAGUCCUGUCCAAAGACUGACUUGGUCGGCCAGGCGGUCGUCAGCCGAUGGUCGGUCUAUCGGCAUCCUCCCCUCCCUGCCAUGAGCCGUCACCGGCAAGGGUCUGUGGCCGCUCGUAAACCACGGCAUUUUUUGAGAUUUUUUGUUGCUCAUGAAUCAAAUCAUGUGUAAAGUAAGGCACUGGUAAGGCCAGGUAUGACUGUGUCACCCAGCCCUGGGGGGGGGUUUAGCAUGGGGUAAUUACAGCUAACAGUUGUUUUUAUUAUACGCCAGAAUCUCAAUCUCUCUCCUCCUGAGACUUGCCUCCAUUAUUUCCUUGCCUUACCUUGAAGUCCCUUUCUCCCAUCCUUCUUUCAUUUCCAUCUCUCUCUCUCUCUCUCUCUCUCUCUCUCUCUCUCUCUCUCUCUCUCUCUCUCUCUCUCUCUCUCUCUCUCUCU
Long non-coding RNA from Eriocheir sinensis (Chinese mitten crab), 2393 nucleotides. RefSeq lists it as uncharacterized. NCBI's taxonomy places the organism in Eukaryota, Metazoa, Arthropoda, Malacostraca, Decapoda, Varunidae. The transcript is spliced from 7 exons. The record is from RefSeq and is a predicted model, not a curated record.